Cornus florida is the source of this 774-nucleotide long non-coding RNA. RefSeq lists it as uncharacterized. The transcript is spliced from 2 exons. Lineage: Eukaryota; Viridiplantae; Streptophyta; Magnoliopsida; Cornales; Cornaceae. The record is from RefSeq and is a predicted model, not a curated record.
CGAGGAAGGACCAGUUCAGAUUCUUGACACACAACAGAAGGUGUUGAGGAACAAGACGAUACCAAUGGUGAAAGUCCUUUGGAGACACCACGGAGUCGAGGAGGCUACUUGGGAGCUCGAACAGGAGGUUCGGUCCAAGUACCCAGCGUUGUUUUCUUCUCCAGGUAUGUCUUGAUUUCGGGGACGAAAUCUUUUUUAAAGUUGGGGAGAAUGUAAAGUUUUUGACUUUCCAACAGUGGGGCCCACUUGAGUUAUAAGGGUCAUUGCAGACCCAUUUAAUUCCAAUUUGUUUUCUCUCUCGGCAGCUCAUAUCUCUCUCUCUCGCUGCUUCUGCUUUUUUUCUUUUCUUUUUUCUUUUUCAACUUCAAUCCUUGAUUCCAUCUUCAUUACUUACCGGAUUUAGGUGCCGUUUGAGGCAAAAUGACGAGUGUGACGAGCUCUACGCGUUGAUGCAAGCAAUUUCCAGUUUUGAGCCUUCUUUGGAACUCGAAAAUUUAAACCCAUUUAUAGGGUUUUGCCUAUUUUGAGGUCUUGGAAAAGAACCGGUGAACGACAACCCACCUCAAGCUUGAGCGAUACUAGAAGCUCACUUUUGUGUCUUUUGUAUAUCUCCCAUUAUUUUUGCAAAGCACUAAAAGUGUGAAGGUGUAUAUGUAUAUUUUGCAAAAACUUUGUCAUGUAAUGUAAUUAAGGUAUUUGAUGAUAUUUUGGAUGUGAAUUUGUUAACAUGUAAACCUUGUUGAUGAAUGGGAAGGAUAAUUUUAGUUAAAGUAA